Molecule: ribosomal RNA, 440 nt
Filed under: uncultured bacterium
Lineage: Bacteria
Description: partial 16S ribosomal RNA
Rfam family: Bacterial small subunit ribosomal RNA
Source: RNAcentral
CCUACGUGAGGCAGCAGUGGGGAAUAUUGCACAAUGGGGGAAACCCUGAUGCAGCGACGCCGCGUGAGUGAAGAAGGAAUUCGUUAUGUAAAGCUCUAUCAGCAGGGAAGAAAAUGACGGUACCUGAGUAAGAAGCCCCGGCUAACUACGUGCCAGCAGCCGCGGUAAUACGUAGGGGGCAAGCGUUAUCCGGAUUUACUGGGUGUAAAGGGAGCGUAGACGGCAGUGCAAGUCUGGAGUGAAAGGCGGGGGCUCAACCCCCGGACUGCUCUGGAAACUGUACGGCUGGAGUGCAGGAGAGGUAAGUGGAAUUCCUAGUGUAGCGGUGAAAUGCGUAGAUAUUAGGAGGAACACCAGUGGCGAAGGCGGCUUACUGGACUGUAACUGACGUUGAGGCUCGAAAGCGUGGGGAGCAAACAGGAUUAGAUACCCCAGUAGUC